RNAcentral lists this transfer RNA (72 nucleotides) under Candidatus Microgenomates bacterium. Its description in RNAcentral is "tRNA-Arg". It matches the Rfam family "tRNA". From Rfam's summary of the family: Transfer RNA (tRNA) molecules are approximately 80 nucleotides in length. Lineage: Bacteria; Candidatus Microgenomatota. The record is from RNAcentral.
GCCCCCGUAGCUUAACGGAUAGAGUAAAUGGCUUCGAACCAUUUGAUGGGGGUUCGAUUCCUCCCGGGGGCG